Molecule: long non-coding RNA, 1645 nt
Organism: Brassica napus (rape)
Lineage: Eukaryota; Viridiplantae; Streptophyta; Magnoliopsida; Brassicales; Brassicaceae
Exons: 2
Source: RefSeq, a predicted model, not a curated record
UCUACAGAUUUUUUUCUACAGCAAAAUAUUUAAAGCUACAACCAUUACCAAUCGGACCCAUUAUAGUCAAUAUAUAUGAUGUGAUUUUAGUAAUGAUUCCAAAUAUUAUUAAUAAAUAAAUGAAAUAUGACUUUCUAGUAAUGGUCUAUUUUUUAGAAUAUUACACAUGAUUCAUGGGGCUUGCCCGCGGGCCUGGCCCGGAAAUGCCCAUUGCGGGGCGGGAUUGGGUAAAGAUAUUAUGGCCCGUUUAGUUGCGGGUCUUGCGGGACAGGACCGCGAUGGUACUGGGCCGAAGCGGGACGGGCCAAAGCGGGAUGCGGGGAAACAUUGAGGCCCGCUACAGUUUUCUCGUUUGUCUCUUUGGUGAUUUACCGAUAAUAGAGCUAAACGGUGAACAGGUGAUGACGAUAGCGAUUCUUGCUCUCUGUGUUUCUUCUUCUUCGAUCGAGUGAUCGACGACGACAAAGCAUCUUCUUCUUCUCCUCUGUACAGUAGAUCGACUUGCAUGUCCAGAGUUAUUUAGCUCGUGCCUCUCUGUUUACACGAUUUUAGAUUUAUGUUCGUCCUUUCAAAGGUAAGUAAUCUUCUUCAUAAGUAUUUAGCUCGUCCCUUCAUAACGAAGGUAAGUAAUCUUCUUCCUUGUUCUGUCUCUAUCCCUGUGAAUGUGUUCUGUGAAUCUUCUUAGUUAGAUUAUGUCUCUCUGCGAAAGUAUUUUUUCCUAACAGUGUAAUGAUAUAUAUAUAUAUAUAUAUAUAUAUUGUGUUGUUAUGUUUUGUUUAUGUAUUAGAUGGCUUGGUUGUAUAAGCGUUGUUCUCUUUUUGUUCUGCUUACUCUCGGUUGCUAGUUAUUAAUUAAAAAAUUCAACACAACUUUACUCUUGGUUGUUUCUGUAUUGUUCUGUUUUUGUUUCGGUAUUGAUAUAUAUAUAUAUAAUUAUAUAUAUAUAUAUAGUGUCGUUCUUCUUUUGUUUCUGUAUUAGAUGGCUUUGUUGUUUUUUAAGUAUUGUUCUGUUUUUGAUUCUUGUUGAUAACACGGUUCAAGCACUCUUGUUAUCUUGUUUGAUAACAGACUGGUCUUCUUUUUUAUUAAAUAUCGCUUACACUUGUUUUGUUUUUCACGCAUGAUCAUGAAUUCAUGAGUCGAUACUUGUUUGAUGGAGUGAUGUUGGACAAGGAGAGGAGAGACUGAUAUUAUUCCCUUCUGCCUUCGGGUUGCUUCAGGACUUGAGGUGACACAGGUCCCAAGCCUUGAUGAAGAUUGCUGGCCCGCGGGCCGACCCGCAUACCCGCUGCUAUAGGGCGGGUCGGGAUUGGUCAUAGGUUUCAGAGACCGCAGCCCGCCGCGGUACGACCCGCAGAGACUCGAAUGAAACUGAGCCCGCGACGGGGCGGGUCAUUUGGUUGCGGGAGAGCCCAAAUGCCAUCACUAGGUUUAAACUUGGAAUUAGAUCAUUACAUAUGAAAUUUAUUUUGCGUAUAAGACAUCAAGCUCUAACUGAAAGUCACUUUUAAAAUAUUUUUGGUAGAGUAAAAAGUAGUUUUCAACGAGUUACGCUAAAAUUAGCCCACUUAAAAAAAAAUAGUUACUCUGAUUUAGAGUAAAUGUUUUUGUCUUCUUAUAUUUAUAGAGUAAUUUUUUUUCUAAA